RNAcentral lists this ribosomal RNA (253 nucleotides) under uncultured bacterium. RNAcentral's name for it is "partial 16S ribosomal RNA". It matches the Rfam family "Bacterial small subunit ribosomal RNA", at positions 524 to 776 of the family's 1533-position model. The record is from RNAcentral.
UACGAAGGUGGCAAGCGUUACUCGGAAUUACUAGGCGUAAAGGGCAGGUAGGUGGUUUGAUAAGUCUGUUGUGAAAGCUCCCGGCCCAACUGGGGGAGGUCAACAGAAACUAUCAGGCUUGAGUAUGGGAGAGGGUACUGGAAUUCCUGGUGUAGCGGUGAAAUGCGCAGAUAUCAGGAGGAACACCGAUGGCGAAAGCAGGUACCUGGACCAUUACUGACACUCAGCUGCGAAAGCUAGGGGAGCAAACAGG